AUUGAACGCUGGCGGAAUGCUUUACACAUGCAAGUCGAACGGCAGCACGGGGCAACCUGGUGGCGAGUGGCGAACGGGUGAGUAAUACAUCGGAACGUGCCCAAUCGUGGGGGAUAACGUAGCGAAAGUUACGCUAAUACCGCAUACGAUCUACGGAUGAAAGCGGGGGAUCGCAAGACCUCGCGCGAAUGGAGCGGCCGAUGUCAGAUUAGGUAGUUGGUGGGGUAAAGGCUCACCAAGCCAACGAUCUGUAGCUGGUCUGAGAGGACGACCAGCCACACUGGAACUGAGACACGGUCCAGACUCCUACGGGAGGCAGCAGUGGGGAAUUUUGGACAAUGGGCGCAAGCCUGAUCCAGCCAUGCCGCGUGAGUGAAGAAGGCCUUCGGGUUGUUAAAGGACUCUUUCUAGCCGGAAAGAAAACGACGAACAGGUUAAUAACCUAGUGCGGA
RNAcentral lists this ribosomal RNA (452 nucleotides) under uncultured bacterium. RNAcentral's name for it is "bacterial SSU rRNA". It matches the Rfam family "Bacterial small subunit ribosomal RNA", at positions 30 to 481 of the family's 1533-position model. The record is from RNAcentral.